RNA transcript from Chiroxiphia lanceolata (lance-tailed manakin), 724 nucleotides. It is a transcript of the gene named selenoprotein K, with no coding region annotated. The record is from RefSeq and is a predicted model, not a curated record. The transcript has 5 exons. NCBI's taxonomy places the organism in Eukaryota, Metazoa, Chordata, Aves, Passeriformes, Pipridae.
UGCGCUGAGCUCGCCUGCUUCUGAACUGCGCUUGGGGACUUUGAAGGGGCCGAGCGUGGUCUGCGAACACCGGGAGCGUAGCAGAACAGCACUUAAGCAACAUGCGGGGAAACCGCCGCUGCACUGGUACUUCUUAUAGGUUUCCUGGACGCAGAGCCCGUUUGGCGAUUGACAAGUUUUGGAUAACCGGAGUCGGGCUCCUUGGAGUCUGUCAUCUAUAACAGAUUUCUUCUGGUCCAUAGCAGAUUUUGUGGUUCUGUUUUUCCAGAGCAUUAUUCAACCAGAUUUGAGAAGAAGAGGUUAUACAUCUUCCUCCUAUUCAGGAUACAAUGACAGAAGAGGGCCUCCAGCAAAUCCUCGCCGUAGGAUGGGUCGAAUAAAUCACUGGGGUGGAGGCCCCAGUCCCCCACCAAUGGCUGGGGGUGGAUGAGGAAGGUAAAUGCCUGCUGAAGAGGCAGGCACAAGUGUACACAUUUGCAAGAUGAAAGGAAGAAGAGUUUAGUGGUGGACCAAAUGAGUUUGAAUAUUGUGAAUGCGUACAUCUGACUGGAAACUGUUCUGUGAUAUAAGCAGAUUAAUGAAGUUGUACUGGGAACUCCUUCAAGGAUCCAGUGUAACUGAACCAGUUUUAUUAAAUACAUGUUUACUGUCUAAAGUCUUUGUAUAGUUUCUGAAUAUUUUACUGUAGUUACAAAGUAAUAAGUAAAUUAUAUUUGGCUUGUCA